This 1458-nucleotide ribosomal RNA is filed under the name Loxosomella parguerensis. RNAcentral's name for it is "SSU rRNA". It matches the Rfam family "Eukaryotic small subunit ribosomal RNA". The record is from RNAcentral. Lineage: Eukaryota; Metazoa; Entoprocta; Loxosomatidae.
UGCAUGCCUAAGUACAAACUUUGAUACAGUGAAACCGCGAAUGGCUCAUUAAAUCAGUUAUGGUUCCUUAGAUCGUUCUGUUUACUUGGAUAACUGUGGGAAUUCUAGAGCUAAUACAUGCAGAAACGCCCUGACCCUCUGGGGAUGGGCGCAGUUACUUGUUCAGACCAACCACAGCGCGAGUUGUGACUUUUGUGAUGAUUCUGGAUAACCUCGAGCGAAUCGCAUGACUUCAUGUCGGCGAUGUAUCUAUCGAAUGUCUGACCUAUCAACUUUCGAUGGUAGGUGAUAUGCCUACCAUGGUUUUAACGGGUAACGGAGAAUCAGGGUUCGACUCCGGAGAGGGAGCAUGAGAAACGGCUACCACUUCUACGGAAGGCAGCAGGCGCGCAAAUUACCCAAUGUCGGAGUGACGAGGUAGUGACGAAAAAUAACAAUACGGGACUCUUUCGAGGCCCCGUAAUUGGAAUGAGUACAUUUCAAAUCUCUUAACGAGGAUCUAUUGGAGGGCAAGUCUGGUGCCAGCAGCCGCGGUAAUUCCAGCUUCAAUAGCGUAUAUUAAAGUUGUUGCAGUUAAAAAGCUCGUAGUUGGAUCUCAGGCUUAGGCAGGCGGUCCGCCUAGCGGUGGCACUGUCUGACCCGGCCUACCUCCCGGUAUGCUCUUGGUGCCCUUGAUUGGGUGUCUGGAGUGUCUGGAACGUUUACUUUGAAAAAAUGAAAGUGCUUAAAGCAAGCGUGUGCCUGUAUAUCUCAGCAUGGAAUAAUGGAAUAGGACCUCGGUUUUAUUUUGUUGGUUUAUGGGCUCGAGGUAAUGAUUAAGAGGGACUGNNNNNNNNNNGGAGUGGAGCCUGCGGCUUAAUUUGACUCAACACGGGAAAACUCACCCGGCCCGGACACUAGGAGGAUUGACAGAUUGAGAGCUCUUUCUUGAUUUAGUGGGUAGUGGUGCAUGGCCGUUCUUAGUUGGUGGAGCGAUUUGUCUGGUUAAUUCCGAUAACGAACGAGACUCUGGCCUAUUAAAUAGUUUACUGAUCUUGUGUUGUCAGUGCGAACUUCUUAGAGGGACAAGUGGCUUUUAGCCACACGAGAUUGAGCAAUAACAGGUCUGUGAUGCCCUUAGAUGUUCGGGGCCGCACGCGCGCUACACUGAAGGGAUCAGCAUGUGUCUACCCUGCGCCGAAAGGUGUGGGUAACCCGUUGAACCCCCUUCGUGCUUGGGAUUGUGGCUUGUAAUUUUCCCACAUGAACGAGGAAUUCCCAGUAAGCGCCAGUCAUAAGCUGGCGUUGAUUACGUCCCUGCCCUUUGUACACACCGCCCGUCGCUACUACCGAUUGAAUGGUUUAGUGAGAUCUUGGGAUCGGUCGCUAAGGGACAUCCCUAAGCGAUUGAGAAGAUGAUCGAACUUGAUCAUUUAGAGGAAGUAAAAGUCGUAACAAGGUUUCUGUAGGUGAACCUGC